UUCCUGAAGAUUGAUUUCCAUAAGGCCUACGACACUGUGAGUUGGCCCUUCCUUCGAGAAGUCCUGCUCCGGAAAGGCUUCGGCGAACGUUGGAUUACCAGAGUGAUGCAGAUAGUCUCUUGCGGUCGCACCGCCGUGAACAUCAAUGGGGAGAUUGGCCCGUACUUCCCCACCCCGUGUGGGGUCAGACAAGGCGACCCAUUCUCCCCAUUCUUGUUCAAUAUGGUGGUGGACGCGCUUGCUGCCAUCCUGGAUAAGGCGAAGGCCGCGGGCCAUAUUCAGGGGAUCACCCCCAAUUUGGCCGGUGGCGUCAGGAUCUCCCUGCUCCAGUACGCUGACGACACCAUCAUCAUGGUAGAAGGCUCGGACGCGGACAUCACGAACCUGAAGCUCCUCCUCCUCUGUUUUCAACAAAUGUCUGGCCUCAAGAUCAACUUCACAAGAGUGAUGUGA
RNAcentral lists this ribosomal RNA (453 nucleotides) under Triticum aestivum (bread wheat). Its description in RNAcentral is "partial small subunit ribosomal RNA". Lineage: Eukaryota; Viridiplantae; Streptophyta; Magnoliopsida; Poales; Poaceae. The record is from RNAcentral.